AGAGUUUGAUCAUGGCUCAGAACGAACGCUGGCGGCAGGCUUAACACAUGCAAGUCGAACGGUCUCUUCGGAGGCAGUGGCAGACGGGUGAGUAACGCGUGGGAAUCUACCUUUUGCUACGGAACAACAGUUGGAAACGACUGCUAAUACCGUAUGUGUCCUUCGGGAGAAAGAUUUAUCGGCAAAGGAUGAGCCCGCGUUGGAUUAGCUAGUUGGUAGGGUAAAGGCCUACCAAGGCGACGAUCCAUAGCUGGUCUGAGAGGAUGAUCAGCCACACUGGGACUGAGACACGGCCCAGACUCCUACGGGAGGCAGCAGUGGGGAAUAUUGGACAAUGGGCGCAAGCCUGAUCCAGCCAUGCCGCGUGAGUGAUGAAGGCCCUAGGGUUGUAAAGCUCUUUCACCGGUGAAGAUAAUGACGGUAACCGGAGAAGAAGCCCCGGCUAACUUCGUGCCAGCAGCCGCGGUAAUAC
RNAcentral lists this ribosomal RNA (472 nucleotides) under uncultured bacterium. RNAcentral describes it as "bacterial SSU rRNA". It matches the Rfam family "Bacterial small subunit ribosomal RNA", at positions 8 to 526 of the family's 1533-position model. The record is from RNAcentral.